GGAUAGUCAAGCAGACGCUAUGUGUUUCACUAUCACAGACAAAGCUGCAAUGAACAGCUGGUCCCUGGGCAUUUGCCCAAGACUCACUCAGAAUGGAGGUGACCUCGAGGGUGGAGUCCUAGGCUCAGCUGUCCAGGCGGCUCCCAUCCGGCGGGGCAGACCUCACAGCACCCGCUGUCACCAUCACCGUGCAGGACAGAGAGCCCUAAUGUGGCUGCACUUGGGGGAAAUGCUUCUGUGAUGUGACCCGUGAUGCCUCUUCCGUGCACAGCAAUUGUCUAGAGUGCCUCCCCCGGCACCACUGAGCUUCGAGGGGACAGGAAGAAGCCGCUUUCUGCCCUUUCCUAAGGAGGGGCGAUCAGGACCUGCAGAAACCAUCAAGGUUUCCAUUGUUCCCCCUUCCACAAAAAAAUCGCUGCUUCUAAGACCCUCCUGUGAACAAAAUUUUGGAGCCACAGAUGCUCCUCAUGAUACAAAAUAAACAUUUUCCAAA
RNAcentral lists this long non-coding RNA (493 nucleotides) under Mustela putorius furo (domestic ferret). RNAcentral's name for it is "lncRNA (ENSMPUG00000029648.1)". Lineage: Eukaryota; Metazoa; Chordata; Mammalia; Carnivora; Mustelidae. The record is from RNAcentral.